Molecule: ribosomal RNA, 632 nt
Filed under: Russula sp. C34
Lineage: Eukaryota; Fungi; Basidiomycota; Agaricomycetes; Russulales; Russulaceae
Description: eukaryotic LSU rRNA
Rfam family: 5.8S ribosomal RNA (bases 213-366)
Source: RNAcentral
GUAUAACAGAGGUGCUGGGGUUGUCGCUGACUUUUGAAAGGGUCGUGCACACCUCGGUGCUCUCGCACAUAAUCCAUCUCACCCCUUUGUGCAUCACCGCGUGGGGACCCCUUUUAGCUAGUUCUGAGGGGGGUUUUCAUGUUUUUACAAAGACACCCUUUUAAUGCAAUGUGUAGAAUGUCUUACUUUUUGCGAUCACACGCAAUCAAUACAACUUUCAACAACGGAUCUCUUGGCUCUCGCAUCGAUGAAGAACGCAGCGAAAUGCGAUACGUAAUGUGAAUUGCAGAAUUCAGUGAAUCAUCGAAUCUUUGAACGCACCUUGCGCCCUUUGGCAUUCCGAAGGGCACACCCGUUUGAGUGUCGUGACAUUCUCAAAACCUUCUUGGUUUCUUGACCAGGAAGGCUUUGGACUUUGGAGGUUUUUGCUGGCCUUCCUUUGUUGGAGCCAGCUCCUCUGAAAUAGAUUAGUGGGGUUCACUUUGCUGAUCCUUGACGUGAUAAGAUGUUUUUUUUUCUAUGUCUUGGAUUUUGCACUGUUCCUGCUCCUAACUGUCUUACAGAAGACAAAUGGUCAAGUGAUUGCCACUUGACCCACAAACCUUGACCUCAAAUCGGGUGAGACUACCCGC